This 460-nucleotide ribosomal RNA is filed under the name uncultured bacterium. RNAcentral describes it as "partial 16S ribosomal RNA". It matches the Rfam family "Bacterial small subunit ribosomal RNA", at positions 338 to 795 of the family's 1533-position model. The record is from RNAcentral.
CCUACGGGGGGCAGCAGUGAGGAAUAUUGGUCAAUGGACGAGAGUCUGAACCAGCCAAGUCGCGUGAAGGUUGAUUGCCCUAUGGGUUGUAAACUUCUUUUAUAUGGGACUAAAACAGGGUAUGCAUACCCUCUUGUAUGUAUCAUAUGAAUAAGGAUCGGCUAAUUCCGGGCCAGCAGCCGCGUUAAUACGGGGGUUCCGAGCGUUAUCCGGAUUUAUUGGGUUUAAGGGGAGCGUAGGUGGAUUGUUAAGUCAGUUGUGAAAGUUUGCGGAUCAACCGGAAAAUUGCAGUUGAAACUGGCAGUCUUGAGUACAGUAGAGGUGGGCGGAAUGCGUGGUGUAGCGGUGAAAUGCUUAGAUAUCACGAAGAACGCCGAUUGCGAAGGCAGCUCACUGGACUGCAACUGACACUGAUGCUCGAAAGUGUGGGUAUCAAACAGGAUUAGAUACCCUUGUAGUC